Molecule: non-coding RNA, 170 nt
Filed under: Candidatus Sphingomonas excrementigallinarum
Lineage: Bacteria; Pseudomonadati; Pseudomonadota; Alphaproteobacteria; Sphingomonadales; Sphingomonadaceae
Source: RNAcentral
CCGGUGCCCUUCGGGGCUUUAACGGGAAUGGGGUGCAAAUCCCCGGCUGUCCCUGCAACUGUAAGCGGUGAGCGAGCGAUGCUGGUGCCCCUUUGAGGCACGGCCACUGGAGUGAUCCGGGAAGGCGCAUCCCCUCGCUUCGACCCGCGAGCCAGGAGACCUGCCGGCGU